Molecule: ribosomal RNA, 507 nt
Filed under: uncultured bacterium
Lineage: Bacteria
Description: partial 16S ribosomal RNA
Rfam family: Bacterial small subunit ribosomal RNA
Source: RNAcentral
AUUGAACGCUGGCGGCAUGCCUUACACAUGCAAGUCGAACGGCAGCGGGGGAGAAGCUUGCUUUUCCUGCCGGCGAGUGGCGAACGGGUGAGUAAUACAUCGGAACGUGCCCUGUAGUGGGGGAUAACUAGUCGAAAGAUUAGCUAAUACCGCAUACGACCUGAGGGUGAAAGUGGGGACCGCGAGGCCUCAUGCUAUAGGAGCGGCCGAUGUCUGAUUAGCUAGUUGGUGGGGUAAAGGCCUACCAAGGCGACGAUCAGUAGCUGGUCUGGGAGGACGAUCAGCCACACUGGGACUGAGACACGGCCCAGACUCCUACGGGAGGCAGCAGUGGGGAAUUUUGGACAAUGGGCGAAAGCCUGAUCCAGCAAUGCCGCGUGUGUGAAGAAGGCCUUCGGGUUGUAAAGCACUUUUGUCCGGAAAGAAAUGGCUCUGGUUAAUACCUGGGGUCGAUGACGGUACCGGAAGAAUAAGGACCAGCUAACUACGUGCCAGCAGCCGCCGUAA